This 375-nucleotide unclassified non-coding RNA is filed under the name uncultured Bacteroidota bacterium. Its description in RNAcentral is "uncultured Bacteroidetes bacterium contains 16S-23S intergenic spacer region". The record is from RNAcentral. Lineage: Bacteria; Pseudomonadati; Bacteroidota.
UCACCGCUUGCGCGGGCGGUCUCACUAGAGUCCCCGGCUUGACCCGCUGGUAACUAGUGAUAGGGGUUGCGUUCGUUGCGGGACUUAACCCAACAUCUCACGACACGAACUGACGACAGCCAUGCAGCACCUCGCUAGAAGCCCUUGCGGGAGACCCCCUUUCAGGGGCUGUCCUCUAGCGUUCGAGCCUAGGUAAGGUUCCUCGCGUUGCAUCGAAUUAAGCCACAUGCUCCACCGCUUGUGCGGGCCCCCGUCAAUUCCUUUGAGUUUCACCCUUGCGAGCGUACUCCCCAGGUGGGAUGCUUAUCGCGUUAGCUUAGGCGCUGCCUCGAAUCGAGGCAACACCGAGCAUCCAUCGUUUAGGGCGUGGACUAC